UUGCCCUGAGGACUGGACACCCCCUACCUUCCUGGCUUCCAGGGUUCUGGACCCCACCGACAGGCGGCAGGACCCCCUCUGCCCCCCGCCCGACACCCCGUCAGUGAACCCUGACCUCGACCAAGUGUUGCCUUCAUCUCUCAAAAGUCUUGUGCAACCAGUUCGGCGUCUUGCAGCAGUGCCUGCGAACCCGAGUGAGUCCGUCGCUCCCUCCGCGAAAACCUCGACCCUUUUCCGGAAGCCUUGGGCUCCAGCACCCAUGCCUGCUGCAGCCGCCAAAGAGCGGAAAGCCCCAGACUCUGCGGGUCUUGGUUAAGCGUCUCUGGUCGUGCCUGGUCUCCUGCAUCUGUUCCACUGCCCGGCCAUCUCCCUCGUGCAGCCCAGAACAAUUGAGAGGAAGCGUUGGCGGGCUGCGGGGAAUGACUGUUGGGUUUUUCCACUAGUAUUGAGUGGUUUUUGCGAAGAAUACGUUGCUGUCGGUGGUGUCCGGGUCGUCUCUCCCUCUUUUCCUUUUGGUCCCCAUAAAUGAGCUGUUUUCGGCUCUGGGAAAGAAAAGCCUUCCAGCGAUUAUACGGAUCUAAUUAAGUCAAUCAGGAAACUGCUGGAGAGCGGCACUAGCUUAAAGCGGAAUUUGUCCGGAGGCACAGCGGAACGAUUGCACGCGGCCCUUUUCAGCGGUUCGAGCUCGGCCAGCGCCGCUGCAAACGGAAGCCUGAGCUGGGCUAGGGGAACUACGCCCGCAGACUUCUCUAAUUUUAUUCACAAAACUGGCCACCCUCGGGGAAAGCGGCAAAGCCCGCGUGAGCCUCCUCCUUCCCACUCCGGACCUAGCUGCAGCUCCAAAGCGAGACAGCUGUCUAGCCUCAGCCGAUAUAUCUCCCGGCCCCCUUCUCCACCCGGAUCUUUGGCUGCUCAGGAGCGAUCAGUUCCCUUAGCCCAGGUGGGAGGCGGGAGACUCCAGAUCCUGUGACUUGCCGGUGUAGACCUCAGACAUGUUACCCAUGCACAGAAAUGACUGGGGCUCCAGUGUGUGCACCUUCAACUCUGAAGCCCACCUGCCCACUUCAGGUGCUGGCUCAGAGACAGGUGCCUCCGCCGUAACCCCCACACGUCUGCUGGGCAAAGUUCGAAAGAAUGAAUUUCCAUCUUCUCUUUCCACUACUCCUGGCCACUGUCCCCUCCCAGCCCCAUCUCCCCACCCCCCAACCCUGGACUAUGUGGUAGGGGGCUCGCUUAAGCACUCUGCACUCGAGUACUGCGAGUACUGCGCGUGGAGACCAAGGCGAGCUGCGGAGCCUGUCGGCUGUUGUUUGUGGGAAGAGGGUUGCGACCUCAGGAGAGAGCAAAAACAGUGUCACUUAAAACCCGCCGGUCCCGAAGAUCCACAGAGUUCACGGAGUGGUAGGGAAGGCUCCACACUCUUGAGAGCAGAGGCAGCCAGGGGCAGUGGGGGACGCUUCCAGACCUCACGCUUCGUGUCCAUUGAGUGGACCCAGGACUGCCUGGAAGCCUCAUCAUCCAGGCCCACGACUUCCCCCCAGAGUCUGAAGCCUUGCGACCUGGUCGGGGACGACAAACCUGCUGGGGUCAGCAGCGAGACCUUAAUGGGGAAUGAGGAUGUGCGACCAUGUGCCUGGGCUGAGUGUCUGUGA
Molecule: long non-coding RNA, 1652 nt
Organism: Piliocolobus tephrosceles (Ugandan red Colobus)
Lineage: Eukaryota; Metazoa; Chordata; Mammalia; Primates; Cercopithecidae
Source: Ensembl